Molecule: long non-coding RNA, 703 nt
Organism: Esox lucius (northern pike)
Lineage: Eukaryota; Metazoa; Chordata; Actinopteri; Esociformes; Esocidae
Source: Ensembl
AAGAGUUUGAGUAAAGUAAACUAAGUGAUGUUAUUUGUGACAUUUUUUGUCUUGGAAACUAUUGCUUCUAUUUAAGAUUAGGAAUCCUUUUAUCCAUAAUCUGUUUUUCAUUAGGGCACUUGACUUUCUGGAUAAAAGGUGUCGAGCUCGUCAAGUACUAAGCUUUACACCCCUAGCAGCAAAUUUACCCUGGCAGCAUAUGAGUGAAAACGCUGGAGUUAGGAGAAAUUCAUCGCUUUGUUAUUGGCCCUUGGACGCCCCUGGCAUCUCGUGUACAGCACAAAGUUUUCAGCUAUGAAGAUUUCCAGCGACUCCAGAAUGAAAACCAAGCUCUGAGGGAGGAGAACCAAGCCCUGAGGGAAUGCAAUGCACAAGCAGCUUCGGAUGACAGCGGCUCACUUCAAGAGCAGGUGAAGCAAGUAGGGACAAUGUUGAAGACAUUGGUGCGUUACCUGAAAGGAGCAUCUGACCGUGAAGGCAGAAAAAGCGCCGCACAGCUGAGAGGGACCCACAGCCGACCCCUUACACCUUGGCUGACUACUGGCACCCCAGCAUCACUGAACUGGAACACUUUCUUUAUCCUGCAGUCAGUAACAUCAAGAAGCCAGAAAUGCCAGACUACACUCACCAAACCCACCCUGUUCACUGUGGAUGUUUUUUUUGUUUGUUUGUAUUUUAACUUUAGUAUUGGCUUAUUUCCUUC